GUGAGAUAGUCAGUAGAGUUCAAUUCUGUACCGUGACGUGGCAAUAUAACAAUACUUCCUCGGGCAGACCACCAAACCAAACACAGAGUGCAGAUACCCUCACCAAAGCGCAUUAGAAUCUCAUAGCUCGAGAUGAGCACUUCGUAUCUUCAACAACUUUGCAUACUUCAAUUGGUCUGGUGCCUUGGAUGUUGGAAGGCGACAGAAGCUUGUCCAUACAAAGAGUGUGAACAUGGAAUUGUUUUCAGAAGGGGUUCUGGGAUCCAGACUGAUGUUGGUGAUAUGAUGGGGAGAGAUCAGAAUGAGGAGCAAGUUCAGAAUGUUUUCAAAAGAUUCCUGUUUCACUAUUCAAAGGCCAACUCAGUAGACUCUGUACAGCAUGCGGCAUUCCCCUCUAGUCCCAUUCAGUGCACCCGCUGAUGCGCCUGUCACCCAAACUGUCUCAGAGGAGAAAGAAGCAGCUCAUGCUUUUGAAGCACUCUGUGUGAUGUAAAAAUCUGACUUUAGAAUAACUGGAAAGAAGACAUCAGCAUACUGCAACCCCCCUGAACAUGGAGCACAAAAUGGCAGACUGAGGGACAGACAGAAGCAGCAUCCUCAGUGUUCUCUGGCAAUGGACUUGAUAUUUUUGAGAAAUAAAUGAUUGCAGAUUGUGAA
This is an RNA transcript of Oncorhynchus keta (chum salmon), 657 nucleotides long. It is a transcript of the gene named neuromedin-S-like, with no coding region annotated. The record is from RefSeq and is a predicted model, not a curated record. The transcript has 7 exons. NCBI's taxonomy places the organism in Eukaryota, Metazoa, Chordata, Actinopteri, Salmoniformes, Salmonidae.